RNAcentral lists this transfer RNA (86 nucleotides) under Rhizobium sp. RCAM05350. Its description in RNAcentral is "tRNA-Leu". It matches the Rfam family "tRNA". Rfam says of the family: Transfer RNA (tRNA) molecules are approximately 80 nucleotides in length. The record is from RNAcentral. Lineage: Bacteria; Pseudomonadati; Pseudomonadota; Alphaproteobacteria; Hyphomicrobiales; Rhizobiaceae.
GCGGGGUAUGGUGAAAUUGGUAGACACGCCAGAUUUAGGUUCUGGUGCCGCAAGGCGUGGGAGUUCAAGUCUCUCUACCCGCACCA